Molecule: ribosomal RNA, 447 nt
Filed under: uncultured bacterium
Lineage: Bacteria
Description: bacterial SSU rRNA
Rfam family: Bacterial small subunit ribosomal RNA
Source: RNAcentral
AGGCCAGACUCCUACGGGAGGCAGCAGUGGGGAAUAUUGCACAAUGGGGGAAACCCUGAUGCAGCAACGCCGCGUGAGUGAAGAAGUAUUUCGGUAUGUAAAGCUCUAUCAGCAGGGAAGAAGAUGACGGUACCUGAUUAAGAAGCCCCGGCUAACUACGUGCCAGCAGCCGCGGUAAUACGUAGGGGGCAAGCGUUAUCCGGAUUUACUGGGUGUAAAGGGAGCGCAGACGGCGAUGCAAGCCAGGAGUGAAAGCCCGGGGCCCAACCCCGGGACUGCUCUUGGAACUGCGUGGCUGGAGUGCAGGAGGGGCAGGCGGAAUUCCUGGUGUAGCGGUGAAAUGCGUAGAUAUCAGGAGGAACACCGGUGGCGAAGGCGGCCUGCUGGACUGCAACUGACGUUGAGGCCCGAAAGCGUGGGGAGCAAACAGGAUUAGAUACCCGGGUA